This 477-nucleotide ribosomal RNA is filed under the name uncultured bacterium. RNAcentral describes it as "partial 16S ribosomal RNA". It matches the Rfam family "Bacterial small subunit ribosomal RNA", at positions 28 to 507 of the family's 1533-position model. The record is from RNAcentral.
GAUGAACGCUGGCGGCGUGCCUAACACAUGCAAGUCGAACGAAGCACCUUACCUGAUUCUUCGGAGGAAAGUUUGGUGACUGAGUGGCGGACGGGUGAGUAACGCGUGGGUAACCUGCCCUGUACAGGGGGAUAACAGCUGGAAACGGCUGCUAAUACCGCAUAAGCGCACGAGGAGACAUCUCCUUGUGUGAAAAACUCCGGUGGUACAGGAUGGGCCCGCGUCUGAUUAGCUGGUUGGCAGGGUAACGGCCUACCAAGGCAACGAUCAGUAGCCGGUCUGAGAGGAUGAACGGCCACAUUGGAACUGAGCCACGGUCCAAACUCCUACGGGAGGCAGCAGUGGGGAAUAUUGCACCAUGGGGGAAACCCUGAUGCAGCAACGCCGCGUGAGUGAAGAAGUAUUUCGGUAUGUAAAGCUCUAUCAGCAGGGAAGAUAAUGACGGUACCUGACUAAGAAGCUCCGGCUAAAUACGUG